Molecule: transfer RNA, 85 nt
Filed under: Agrococcus sp. SGAir0287
Lineage: Bacteria; Bacillati; Actinomycetota; Actinomycetes; Micrococcales; Microbacteriaceae
Description: tRNA-Leu
Rfam family: tRNA
About the family: Transfer RNA (tRNA) molecules are approximately 80 nucleotides in length.
Source: RNAcentral
GCCGGCAUGGCGGAAUUGGCAGACGCGGCGCACUCAAACUGCGCUUCCUCACGGAGUCAGGGUUCGAGUCCCUGUGCCGGCACCG